This 74-nucleotide transfer RNA is filed under the name Nitrososphaerota archaeon. Its description in RNAcentral is "tRNA-Gln". It matches the Rfam family "tRNA". Rfam says of the family: Transfer RNA (tRNA) molecules are approximately 80 nucleotides in length. Lineage: Archaea; Thermoproteati; Nitrososphaerota. RNAcentral also lists the same sequence under 1 other name. The record is from RNAcentral.
AGCCCGGUCGUCUAGUUGGUCAAGGAUGGAGGCCUUUGGAGCCUUCGACCUAGGUUCGAAUCCUAGCCGGGCUA